UUAGCUGUGAUGAGAAAGCUAACACGUAAGAAGAAGUACUCCUUUGUGGUGUAUUUCUUCAAUGAAAUACAUUUGUUACGCUUGGCUUCUGAGUUAA
Small nucleolar RNA from Arabidopsis thaliana (thale cress), 97 nucleotides. It matches the Rfam family "Small nucleolar RNA R24". From Rfam's summary of the family: snoR24 is a C/D box small nucleolar RNA which acts as a methylation guide for 18S ribosomal RNA in plants. The record is from Rfam. NCBI's taxonomy places the organism in Eukaryota, Viridiplantae, Streptophyta, Magnoliopsida, Brassicales, Brassicaceae.